UACGUAGGGUGCGAGCGUUUGUCCGGAAUUAUUGGGCGUAAAGAGCUUGUAGGCGGUUUGUCGCGUCUGCUGUGAAAAUCCGGGGCUCAACCCCGGACUUGCAGUGGGUACGGGCAGGCUAGAGUGUGGUAGGGGAGACUGGAAUUCCUGGUGUAGCGGUGGAAUGCGCAGAUAUCAGGAGGAACACCGAUGGCGAAGGCAGGUCUCUGGGCCACUACUGACGCUGAGAAGCGAAAGCAUGGGGAGCGAACAGG
This 254-nucleotide ribosomal RNA is filed under the name uncultured bacterium. RNAcentral describes it as "partial 16S ribosomal RNA". It matches the Rfam family "Bacterial small subunit ribosomal RNA", at positions 524 to 776 of the family's 1533-position model. The record is from RNAcentral.